Molecule: ribosomal RNA, 465 nt
Filed under: Vreelandella stevensii
Lineage: Bacteria; Pseudomonadati; Pseudomonadota; Gammaproteobacteria; Oceanospirillales; Halomonadaceae
Description: partial 16S ribosomal RNA
Rfam family: Bacterial small subunit ribosomal RNA
Source: RNAcentral
CCUACGGGGGGCAGCAGUGGGGAAUAUUGGACAAUGGGGGCAACCCUGAUCCAGCCAUGCCGCGUGUGUGAAGAAGGCCCUCGGGUUGUAAAGCACUUUCAGUGAGGAAGAACGCCUGGUGGUUAAUACCCAUCAGGAAAGACAUCACUCACAGAAGAAGCACCGGCUAACUCCGUGCCAGCAGCCGCGGUAAUACGGAGGGUGCGAGCGUUAAUCGGAAUUACUGGGCGUAAAGCGCGCGUAGGUGGCUUGAUAAGCCGGUUGUGAAAGCCCCGGGCUCAACCUGGGAACGGCAUCCGGAACUGUCAAGCUAGAGUGCAGGAGAGGAAGGUAGAAUUCCCGGUGUAGCGGUGAAAUGCGUAGAGAUCGGGAGGAAUACCAGUGGCGAAGGCGACCUUCUGGACUGACACUGACACUGAGGUGCGAAAGCGUGGGUAGCAAACAGGAUUAGAUACCCGGGUAGUC